Molecule: ribosomal RNA, 669 nt
Filed under: Staphylococcus aureus
Lineage: Bacteria; Bacillati; Bacillota; Bacilli; Caryophanales; Staphylococcaceae
Description: bacterial LSU rRNA
Rfam family: Bacterial large subunit ribosomal RNA
Source: RNAcentral
GGGGAGAAGACAUUGUGUCUUCGAGUCGUUGAUUUCACACUGCCGAGAAAAGCCUCUAGAUAGAAAAUAGGUGCCCGUACCGCAAACCGACACAGGUAGUCAAGAUGAGAAUUCUAAGGUGAGCGAGCGAACUCUCGUUAAGGAACUCGGCAAAAUGACCCCGUAACUUCGGGAGAAGGGGUGCUCUUUAGGGUUAACGCCCAGAAGAGCCGCAGUGAAUAGGCCCAAGCGACUGUUUAUCAAAAACACAGGUCUCUGCUAAACCGUAAGGUGAUGUAUAGGGGCUGACGCCUGCCCGGUGCUGGAAGGUUAAGAGGAGUGGUUAGCUUCUGCGAAGCUACGAAUCGAAGCCCCAGUAAACGGCGGCCGUAACUAUAACGGUCCUAAGGUAGCGAAAUUCCUUGUCGGGUAAGUUCCGACCCGCACGAAAGGCGUAACGAUUUGGGCACUGUCUCAACGAGAGACUCGGUGAAAUCAUAGUACCUGUGAAGAUGCAGGUUACCCGCGACAGGACGGAAAGACCCCGUGGAGCUUUACUGUAGCCUGAUAUUGAAAUUCGGCACAGCUUGUACAGGAUAGGUAGGAGCCUUUGAAACGUGAGCGCUAGCUUACGUGGAGGCGCUGGUGGGAUACUACCCUAGCUGUGUUGGCUUUCUAACCCGCACCACU